Molecule: ribosomal RNA, 253 nt
Filed under: uncultured bacterium
Lineage: Bacteria
Description: partial 16S ribosomal RNA
Rfam family: Bacterial small subunit ribosomal RNA
Source: RNAcentral
UACGUAGGGGGCGAGCGUUGUCCGGAUUUAUUGGGCGUAAAGAGCGUGUAGGCGGCCAGGUAGGUCUGCUGUGAAAACUCGAGGCUCAACCUCGAGACGUCGGCGGAAACCAUCUGGCUAGAGUCCGGAAGAGGAGAGUGGAAUUCCUGGUGUAGCGGUGAAAUGCGUAGAUAUCGAGAGGAACACCUGCGGCGAAGGCGGGUUGCUGGGCUGACACUGACGCUGAUGCGCGAAAGCCAGGGGAGCGAACGGG